Molecule: non-coding RNA, 3003 nt
Organism: Vicugna pacos (alpaca)
Lineage: Eukaryota; Metazoa; Chordata; Mammalia; Artiodactyla; Camelidae
Source: RefSeq, a predicted model, not a curated record
GGGAAAGAUGAGAUUAGGAACAGCAGGGCAGCAGCUGACACAACGUGUGGCCCAUUGUACAGAUGCAGUAAGUGACGGCCAUGACUAUUACUGCUGUUGUUACUCUUGGCAUUACUCAGUCACCUGUGGGUUAGGAGCCUGAUGCCUGGCGCGUUGAAGGGAUUAACCCGUGAUCCUUCGGCCAGUGACAGACCCGAGAUCAGAUGCAGGGUUCAUUCUCUGAAGCUCUGCCUUUCCUGCCUCUUUCUGUUUGGUCCCUAAGCCGGCAGCAAGCCAAGCACUGCGUUGCGCAGACCGAAUUUAGCAUCCAGAGCAGAGCGUGUUGGUGGGUGAAAAGUGGCGCUGUUACUCGUGAUGCUGUGACAGGAGGGCUAGAUCAGAAUCUAAAGAAUAAGGCUCCACGGCGUCAUCUGCAGCCUGCAGUGCUUUUCCUCAGGAGAAGAGUUUUGAGUGUCAGAGAGGAAGUUGAUACUGGAAUCAAGAACGUUGACUCCUAGAUGGAGCUGUGCCACCGGCUAAAUGCAGCGUGGCUUGAAGAGAUGUGUUUGUUGUCGGGUCAGCAACCUCAUUCUGGAUGCGUGAAGGGAAGCUGUCUUUCUCACCAAAAAGAUAGCUAAAUAUAAUCACUUAAGGAAAGCUGAUGUACCUUACAGAAAGAAAAGAAAGUUUCCAGACUUUCAAUUUACACAGCGCUAUCUCCAAAGUCUGUGAGGCCGGGAAUCUGGCCAUCUCUAUGGAUUAUACAGAUCUGUUUCUUUUGGUCCUUUGUUGGUUUCUUCACUUUCACCAUCUUUGUAGCUUCUACGUUUCCAAAUUGAGUCCUGGUCUUCAUGUGACGUGUAAAUAGUAAAAUGUCCAUUUGACCAGACUCGAGUGCGUGGGUGACUUGGAUCGAAACUAGAGAAAUCUCCAAAUCAGAUAACGUCUAAACCGUUCUGAAUACGAUCUUUGAUCACAUUAAAUAAUUGUAAUCUCCUUGUCUAAAACUCUGGGAUCUAAGCCCAGGGCAGAUCUCGUUGUUAAGGAGUCAAAACUUAGACAGAUAUGAUAAAAUAGCAAAAGGCUAAAUAUUCUGUAAGUUCUCAGCGCUAUUCUUUCAUUCUCAUUAGCAUAUUUAGUUGUUUCCAGUGAGACCCCUUUGCAGCAGACACAGAAAGACGACGUGUCGCUGCGCUGAUGGGUGGUACCAUUUGAAAUCCACACAGGCUUUCUGUCCACCUGCUGUGCUUCGUUCCAGUACACGUUUCUAUGAUUAAUUUGAUUUUUCUUCAGUACGUCCGAAUGGUCUGAGUCAUUUGUGUUUGUGCAUUUUGUGCUGUGGAUCAAAGUGGGCUUCUGCUUUCUAGGAAGUGGGCUGUUGAGGAAUUUGAAUUCCAGACUCUCUAUCACAGAUGCCUAUGGAUCCUGAUUCCUUCCCUGAGACUUACAGUCCCACACAUGCACGACCCCAGCCUCCCUCUAGAGAAUUCAAGCAUUCUGAACUUGGAUGAGAAAAAUUACCUCUUAAUGUUUUGCUAAUACAUGACAGAAUUUUUUAGCAUUUCCUUUCAUGUUUAAUAUCAUCAGAAAACUGUGGUGGUAGUAGCAGUACUUAAGGCUUUGUCACCAGUGAAAAGCAUGGGUACAUUCCUAUCACCUUGUCACCGAUCUCCUGGAACGUGACUCAUGCUCGGCGCGCCUUCAACAUUGUGAUGGUGAUUCGAUUCCACCAUUUGAUCUUGUCAUGUAAUAAAGUGGUGAGGAAGUGUGUGCGUUGUACUAUCAGAACGGCCUUCACAUUCUGAUAAUUUUAGUAUAAUUCGUUUCCUUUGUAACCUUAAGUACUUUAUUUCUUUAAAAGUGUUAUUCUGAGAAUGGAUUCAUGGCUUUCAUCCGACUGGCAAAGAAAUCCAUGACUCAAGAAGGGUGAAGAAACCCUGCGUCAGGUUACAUUAAAAAGGUAGAUCACUAGUUGGAAAAACUAUGUUUUACUCUCUUCUGCAGAGUUUCAGGUACAUCAGGGCUGAACUGAAGCUUAUUGCUGUAUCUAUAUUUUCCAUCAGAUUUAUCUUCAUGUUUCUGUAAAAUGCGUUAGUGCAUCAUUUGCUGAGAACAGGUUGAACCUCAGCAUGUGUCUGCUCCUAAGCAAAGGUGCUGAGAAAUACACAAGCUACAGAGCUGCAGGCACGCCGAGUUGACCAGGUUAUGACCUGCAGUACAGCCGGAGCACAGUCAUCUUCUACAUACUCAGUACAUGUUAACAGUAAGUGCAGAAGAAGAGAGGACAAAGGAAAAGUCAGGCAUAUGGACCCCAAAUGCUGGGUGAGCUUGCAUGGAAGGAUGAGGUCUGAGCUGGAAACCGAAUACGGUUAGAAUUCCAGUAGACAGAGGAGUCGGCCCUCGUGGUUAGACGGAGAGAAGGAGCAGAGGAGAGACACGAACAGUCAGCCUCCCUGCUCCCAGCCUGCUUUGUUUUUCAUCAUAGCUCUUAAAACAACCUGGAAUGUAUGUAUGUAUUUAAUGAUCCAUUGUCUCUGAUUAAAAUAUAAGAUCAGGAACUUUGUUUUGUUCACUGGUGUACCCUGAGUACAAAGAAAUAGUGCCUGGCACAUAGUAGUUGCUUGAUAAAAAAUUACUGAAGGAAGAAACGAGAGAGGGAGAGAAAGAGAGAAGGAGGGAGGAUGUGACAGAGAGGGAGAGGCAGUGACUGUGUGGCCGGAGAAAACGGACCAGAACGGUCCGAUCAGAGCAGAGCGCGAGUGUAGAAACAUGAAACUCCAAAUGGAGUGGUUAGUACUUACUGCGCCCUUAAGAGAAUUAACCUGUACAACCGGUAGCUGGGAGCCAGCUAGAAGGCACUCUAUCUAAUAAGCUAAUUAACACCAAAGUUCCCAAUUUUAGUUCUGGGAACAUAGCAGGGGCUCAAAAAAUGUUAGCUCUUCUUUCCUGAUAUUUAGAUGUUUACGUUUUAAACUUAAUGAUUCGAUGACACAAGCCUCACUUUAAUUGCAAAGAGUGUUUCAU